Molecule: ribosomal RNA, 1271 nt
Filed under: Platypus contaminatus
Lineage: Eukaryota; Metazoa; Arthropoda; Insecta; Coleoptera; Curculionidae
Description: 16S ribosomal RNA
Rfam family: Archaeal large subunit ribosomal RNA (bases 1027-1185)
Source: RNAcentral
AUGAUAAAAUUAUUAGUUUUGUUAUUUUUAAGUUAUUAUUUUUAAAUUAUUAUUUAUUUUAUUAAUUAUUUUGAAAUGAUUUUUUUUAUUAUAGUUUAUUAGUACUGAAAAGGAAUUUUUAUUUUAUUUUAUAAGAAAUAUUUAUUUUUUGUACCUUGGGUAUCAGGGUUUAUUUAUUUAUAUUUAUAUUUUUAAUUUUCCCGAAUUAAGAAGAGCUAAUUUAGAAUAUAUUUUAUUGUAAAAUAAAUAUUUAAAAUUUUAUUUUAGUUGUGAUAUGCAAUUCAAUUCUUAUUAUAUCUGGUUUUUUAUUAAACAAGUUUAAUUUGUCUAUUAUUUUUUAAAUUUUUAAAUUUUUAGUAAUUUAUUUUAAUAGAAAUAUUAAAGGGGAUGAGCUUUUUAAUAUAUUAUAAAAAUUUUUUUUUAUUUUACAAUUAUUUAGGAUUAAAAAUUUCCAAUUUUAAGAUUUUUUUAUAAUUUUUUUGUUGUUUUUAGAAUUUAUAUAAAAUUUUAUUUUUUUAAUAAAAUUAUUUUUUAAAUUAUUUAUGAAAUUUAAUAAUGAUAGAAUUAGUAUUUUUAUUUGUUAUUGAGUGUUUAUUUUAAUUUAGAUAAAGGAAUUCGGCAAAAUUUUACUCACCUGUUUAUUAAAAACAUGUCUUUUUGAUUAUAAUUUAAAGUUUGGCCUGCCCAAUGAUUUAUUUAAUGGCUGCAGUAUUUUGACUGUACAAAGGUAGCAUAAUCAAUAGUUUCUUAAUUGGAAGCUGGAAUGAAAGGUUUGAUGAAGUAAAUUCUGUCUCUAUUUAAAAAUGAAAAAUUUAUUUUUAAGUUAAAAAGCUUAAAUUUUUAAAGAAGACGAUAAGACCCUAUAGAGUUUUAUAAUUUAUAUAAUAUAUAUUAUAAGAAUUAAAUUUUAUAUUUUUUAAUUUAUUUUGUUGGGGUGACUGAAAAAUUUAUUUAACUUUUUUUUAUUUCUACAUUUUAUAUGGGUUUUUGAUCCUUUUUUAAGAUUAUAAGAUAAACUACCUUAGGGAUAACAGCGUAAUUUUUUUUGAGAGUUCUAAUCGAAAGAAAAGUUUGCGACCUCGAUGUUGGAUUAAAAUUUAUGUUUGGUGCAGAAGCUUUAACAUUAGGUCUGUUCGACCUUUAAAAUUUUACAUGAUCUGAGUUUAGACCGGCGUGAGCCAGGUUGGUUUCUAUCUCUUUAAAUAUAAAAUUUUUUAGUACGAAAGGACCAAAAAUUUAAUUAAUAAUUUUAUUUUUGACAUAAUUUAUUA